This 450-nucleotide long non-coding RNA is filed under the name Linum usitatissimum (flax). Its description in RNAcentral is "long non-coding RNA (LUSI_LNC002186)". Lineage: Eukaryota; Viridiplantae; Streptophyta; Magnoliopsida; Malpighiales; Linaceae. The record is from RNAcentral.
AGCAGCAGAUCUUCUAUGCUCAGCAGCAGGGGAUGGGGACUAAUAAUGUGAAUUUGAUGGCUUCUCAUCAGCCGUACCAAACUGGCAUCAUUCAACAGGCUGUUGCAUCAGCAGCAGAUGGUUCAAACCCGAAUCCUCCGGUCCAGCAGCAGCAGAUUGAUGGAUCAUCUCAGCUCCUGCAAUAAUUUGGCUCGUGGGCUAUCUUUUGUUUUUGUUGUAAUUUUGUUUCAUUAAUUUUUUGUUUGGGAUAAUAGAGACCCCCUUGAAUUAAACAUAAAAUGGUCAAGUUAUUAUAAAUAGAAAUAAAUACUUAGCACAAUUUCUCUUAUUAAAGACUUGUACUUUGUUUGCUUGGUUGCUACUUCGCACCAUAAGCUUUUUGAAAUCUGUGUUCUGUAAAAUUAACGUGUGUACACAUCUUUAACUGGUUGAAUAGUGAAUCCUUAAAGC